RNAcentral lists this ribosomal RNA (448 nucleotides) under uncultured bacterium. RNAcentral describes it as "bacterial SSU rRNA". It matches the Rfam family "Bacterial small subunit ribosomal RNA", at positions 330 to 793 of the family's 1533-position model. The record is from RNAcentral.
ACCAGACUCCUACGGGAGGCAGCAGUGGGGGAUAUUGCACAAUGGGGGAAACCCUGAUGCAGCGACGCCGCGUGGGCGAAGAAGUAUUUCGGUAUGUAAAGCCCUAUCAGCAGGGAAGAAGAAAUGACGGUACCUGAGUAAGAAGCACCGGCUAAAUACGUGCCAGCAGCCGCGGUAAUACGUAUGGUGCAAGCGUUAUCCGGAUUUACUGGGCGUAAAGGGAGCGUAGACGGCGAAGAAAGUCUGAAGUGAAAGCCCGCGGCUCAACCGCGGAAUGGCUUUGGAAACUUUUUUGCUGGAGUACCGGAGAGGUAAGCGGAAUUCCUAGUGUAGCGGUGAAAUGCGUAGAUAUUAGGAGGAACACCAGUGGCGAAGGCGGCUUACUGGACGGUAACUGACGUUGAGGCUCGAAAGCGUGGGGAGCAAACAGGAUUAGAUACCCGCGUAU